This is a long non-coding RNA of Rattus norvegicus (Norway rat), 669 nucleotides long. NCBI's taxonomy places the organism in Eukaryota, Metazoa, Chordata, Mammalia, Rodentia, Muridae. The record is from Ensembl.
UGGGGAGGGCAUGCCCACGGUGAAUAGAAGGCACAGGUCAACAGGGCUGUGGCCUCACCCUGGUGAUCCCAGCAGAGCAGCUCUGCCUCCUGCAGGAAGCUCAGGCCAGGGUGUAGGUCUGCAACAUCCUGGAGGCAGUUGGGGAUGUAUGGUGCUUACACAACCACGAGGAGGGGCCUGAACCAUGGGGCGGAACCUGGGUGUCAGGGGCGUGGCCAUAAACCACAAGACACUUCAGGGUUUGAAUUAGGGGCGUGACCUCUGCGUGAGUGACCAGGGAAUGGCUUAGGGACAAGACGUGGCCUGGCCCAGUGGGUGUGGCCAACACAAAAUCACACCGUGGGAGAACCGGACAAAAACAGUGAGGCCCUGUCUGCUGUGGAACUUAACCUUAAGCUGGGUCUGGAACACUGUUGCUGUCUCCUGCCCCGCCCACUGCUACCCUGGACUGGAAUAUAAGGAGCAGCACAGAGAUGACUUCAACCCUGCGUGACAGUAUCGUGCUUACUAUGGAGCCUUUAAACUUGUGAACAGAGCUGAAGGAGACUCGGAAGAUGUCCAAGCUUUGCAUUUUCUGUCUGUGAUUUCCAUCGUGGACCCCUGGAUCUUCAUCAUUUUCAGGACUUCAGUAUUCUGGAUGUUAUUUCACAAGGUUUUCACAAGACCUCU